Long non-coding RNA from Alligator mississippiensis (American alligator), 1181 nucleotides. RefSeq lists it as uncharacterized. NCBI's taxonomy places the organism in Eukaryota, Metazoa, Chordata, Crocodylia, Alligatoridae. The record is from RefSeq and is a predicted model, not a curated record. The transcript is spliced from 3 exons.
AAGUUCUUGAGGGAAAAGCCCUGAGAUUUCUACAAGUGUCAGAACUGGUGUAAGAACAUUCUCAGUGAUAUGCUUUUGAUUCAUGUAAAAGAUCCUGAAUCCACCGACUUUCAUGAUAAGCAUCAGAACCUGGCUUUUUUCCAGCAAUGGUUGUCUAUGGGUUAAGAGUCUUUUACAAAGACAAGGCUUCCUGUCUUCAUUACAUCUCCCAUGAUGCAGCACAACCUUCCCGCCGGUGAACAAAGAUCCGGAAUUCAGAGUGCAUGGUGAAGAGAAGCCCCCAGAAGGAUAACAUCAUAGAAAGAAGUGAGGGCCUGACGCGCGACUUUGCCAUAACGCCCACUGAAGCCCUGAUUGUGCAGUUUUUUGUUGUGAAUCUGAUUAUGUGUAUAUGUAUUUGUGUUGGUUAUUAUUUGGUUCGAUCCCUUGAGGACGAACUUCUUAUGUUGGUGGAUUUUGUGUUUACCCGUUUAGUUUGACUACCCGUGACAAGAGCUCUUGAUUACUCGAGUGACGAGCGUGCAGCAUAAUUCAGCUGUGCCUUCAGCAAGGGGGGAUGUCACAACCCAAGGGUGUGAUUUUUGUUUGUGUGCGCUUUGGCACUGCUGAAUUAUUUCCCGCCACUUGUAGCUUUCUUUGCAGGGUGCAUUUCUUCGUUGCAGAAAGGAAAUGCACGUUGCAAGGAGUUCCCGCCAUUUGUAUUCAAAUUUGUGCCCCACUAUUGGCCAGUUCUAAAUUAUUCCUACGUGGUGGCUAGCGAUUGGCUUGCUAGCCGUAUAAGAGGCUUGAGUGGUUUCCGCCCAAGUUGGAGGACUCCAUGAACAUCAGGAGGAGGAGACUUCACGUCUCAUGAAGAUCUCUAAGCGCUGCGGAGCCUAUCGGACCCAGCGUGUAUUUCAAGAAGGCUAUAGGGGUCUGAUCAGCCUCUCGCCUCUCCCCGUCGCCGCCUAAUCCCUCGACGUACCCUUCCCUGCGCACAAGUUCCACGGAGCCUAGCAAACUUCGUGUGAGUGAAUCCAGAGCUCUGUCCGAGUCCUUAAACUGGGACUUAAGCGAAGUUUUCCUGGAAGUUUUCCAGCCUGCACCGCGACCAUCUACAGUGUAAGUAAACAAUCUUAAAUCAACCAUUAAGCGUCAGUGCCUAAUUCUAGCGUGCUGCCUGCCUUCCCCGACCUGGAGUG